This 3522-nucleotide long non-coding RNA is filed under the name Sus scrofa (pig). Its description in RNAcentral is "lncRNA (ENSSSCG00000062679.1)". Lineage: Eukaryota; Metazoa; Chordata; Mammalia; Artiodactyla; Suidae. The record is from RNAcentral.
UCAGAGUAUGGAGGCUUUUAAAAAAGUGAUCUGUGAAACCUUAUUGACAAAAUUACAUCAAGUCUGUUCCACUGCUCCUCAGCCAACAUACUCCUCCCUCCCCUUCUUUCCCUUUAGAGUCCCCCAGAACAGAAGCGGAAGGAAGGGAAGAGGGGAUGGUAAGAAGGGCAGCCACUUGAAAGACAGAGGUAUUCUAGCAGCAUUUAUCUUUUUAGUCAGGAUCCAGAGAUAACCUUCACUCACUUUAAAUUCAGUCACUCCUUUAAGCGGCUAUGGGGGAAGUCUGCACCUUUAUUUCCCAUACCCAGUUGUAAUUUUGAGAAAGUAUGAGAACAUGGCUAGUAUAUUCUUUCUUUAGCAUUUGCAUAUUGACUCAAAGAUUUGGUUACUCCAUCUGUCACAGCCCAUUGACAGUAGCUAGAAAUAUAAGCUUUGCCAAUAGCAGAGACAUUGCAACAAACACAACCAGAGUUCCCACUGUGGCUCAGCUGGUUAAGAACCCGACAUAGUGUCGGUGAGGAUGCGGGUUCGAUCCCUGGCCUUGCUCAAUGGGUUAAAAUCUAGCAUUGCCAGAGGCUGCAGAGUAGGUCACAGAUGCAGCUUGGAUCUGGUGCUGCUGUGGCUGUGGCAUAGGCUGGCACCUGCAGAUCUGAUUCAACCCCUAGCCCAGAAACUUCCACAUACCACAGGUGCAGCUGUAAAAAGAAAGAAAAGAAAAAAACCUAACACAACCUGAUAUUUCAGACAUAUCUAAUUCACUACAAGCAAACAGUAAGGUGCCAAGUAUACACCUAACAUCAAAGCUUAGUCUAAAAAUAUCUACCAACAGACACAGCUUGGUUCCUAACCAAUCAGAAAAGAUUCUGGCCUUGAACAGUUGUGUGGCCAUGACAGUGUAUGUCAAUCAUUUGCAUACUUAUCUAGAUCACCCUUUCUCUUCUCUACUUAGAUCAUCUUCUGUGAAUUAAAGAGGCAGGAGUAUAUUGGGAAGAACUAGAGCCAGACAGACUUGGUUUUGGUUCUUACUUGUGACAUCAAGCAGUCUGGCCUUGGGCAAGGCCAUUUCUUUACUGUAAAAUGGAUAUAAUAACUAUUUUGUAAGAUUUGUUGUAAAAAAUACAUACUAGAUAAAAAGGAUCCAAGAAAACAUCUGAAACAGAGUAGGCACUCAGUACAUUACAGCAGUAGUAAUUGUUGUCCUCGUGGUCACUGUAAUUGAUAGCAUCUGGCCAAAAUCACCUUGACUUCAGGUGGGCAUUAAAAGAGCUUCAGAAAGACUCCAAAACCCAGCCUCAAACAAUGCAAAGGCUGAAUGACCAAAGAACUUGAUACUCAGCAGUUGGAAAGGAAAUCUAUCUCCUCUAAAUUACAUGAAGCCACAGUGAGGAGAAAACAGCCAAGGAGCUGGCUGGUGGUGGAAUUGGAGCUGAGCAUUAAACUUAAAUCAGAGAAUCUCUGUUAAAGCAUCCUCUCUCCAUUCACUAGGUCUCUGACCUUGGGCAACUCGCUUAAUCACUUAACACAACAGGAGCCUAUUAUCUCAUUUAUAAAAUGGAGCCAUUAUAAUAUUUAUGAAAGUUCAUUGUAAACUACAAAGUACUAUACAAAAACAUUAUUAUUAAAUAUAUGAAUAUCUACAUUUCUGUGUUGAACAAGUGCAGUAUCAAAAGUAUACAGAGAUUCCUCAAAAAAUUAACAAUAGAACUGAAACUACACUCCUCCUUGGAUGGGACUUGAACCCAGCGAAAACUCACACUGGGACUCAAACCCACAGGCUGGGACUUGAACCCACCUGCACCUCAAAUAGGACUUGAACCCACAAUCCCUGACUGAGGAGGAGACUCAAACCCACUGUCUUUUUCUUUAAUUUUAUUGGAGUAUAGUGGAUUUACAAUGUUGUAUUCAUUUCAGGUAUGCAGCAAAGUGAGUCAGUUGUAUGUAUAAAUAUAUCCAUUCUUUUUUCCCCAUCUAAGUUAUUACAAACUAUUGAGUCGAUUUUCCUAUGCUAUACAGUAGAUUCUCGUUAAUCAUUUGUUUUAUACAGUCUUUUCAUUAAAACUGCUCAUCUGGUAUCAGGACUUACUGAAGCUCGGGUUCUUUUGUCUCAGUGAGGAAAGAAUUCAGCAAGAGGAAGGCAAAGAGUUCAUUAGCAUAGGACGCUUGUGAGAGAUAAAACAAGCAGGCAGGUGAGAAGGCUCUGCCCUGAGAUAGAGAGAAUUUAUUUAUAAUAAAAAAAAAAGUGGGGGUGGGUGAAGACCACCUUCUUCCUCAUUCUUGAGCAGAAGUCAGGGCUUACAUCACUAGUUCCUCCUUUAACUCUAUAUGGUUUAACUGGGACUGUCAUGGCGCUACUUAAAUCAUAUGUAAUAUUAGCAGAAGGAUAGCAACAUAUACUAAAAUGUGGUAAUUCAUCUCAGGUUGUGGUAUAAUGUCCCCUUUCACCUAGUUUUUUUCCCUCUUUCACCUUUAGUCCUGUCUUGGCUACAUCCAGAAAGCUACUCUUCAAGAACAGUUAACUCCCUGACUUCAUAACAAGAUUCAGACUCCAUGUCUAUUGUCCUGUGUUUUCACUAUCAGAGUUUGUGGUUUGAGUGUGUCUGGUGCUUGAAUGUACCUGGUCUUCCUUCAAGGUGGUGUAGAUUGUUGUUGUAUUACUGGAUUUUUUUCUUGAGUCGUCAUUACUUGUAACAGUUUCCCAAACUCCCUUAAAAUUCCCUUUCUGUCUUUAAUCCUCUAGCAGGAUUUCUAAACUGACUAUUUAAUCACCCUACUCUAUCCUGAUCAGAACUACCAUACAAUCCAGCAAUUCCAUUCUGUGUAGUUAUCCAAAGACAAUGAAAACACUAAUUUGAAAAGAUACGUGCACUCCUAUAUUCAUAACAUCAUUAUGUAUAAUAGCCAAGACAUGGAGGCAAUCUAAGUGCCUAUCAAGAGGUACAAAUUUCCAGUUGCAAAAUAAAUGACAUGAUAUGAAAUGUACAGUGUGAGGAGUAUAAUCAAUAACUGUGUAUUGUCUUCAUAUUGUGAUAUAUUUAAUUAGACUUCACUUGGUGGUCAUUUUGAAAUAUACAGAAAUAUCAAAUCACCAUCUUGCAUAAUAGGAACAUAGUGUUAUAGGCCAGUUAUGCCUCAAAAACAAAGAAACUUAUAGAAAGAGAGAUCAGAUUUUGUGAUUACCAGAGGCUGAGAAUUAGGGAAAGGGGGAACUGAAUGAAGGCAGUCAAAGGUACAAACUUCCAGUAAUAAGAUAAAAAAGUACUGGAGCUCCCGUUGUAGCUAGUGCAUACUAGUCAUAAUGUAUCCGACUAGUAUCCAUGAGGAUGUGGGUUCAAUCCCUGGCCUCACAAAGUGGGUUAAGGAUCCGGCAUUGCUGUGAGCUGUGGUAUAGGUCACAGACGAGGCUUGGAUCCCACAAUACUGUGACUGUGAUGUAGACCUGAAGCUGCAACUCUGAUUCAGAGUUCCCGGACCCCUAGCCUGAGAAUUUCCAUGUACCACGGGUUCAGCCCUAAAAAUUUUUUU